Molecule: ribosomal RNA, 225 nt
Filed under: uncultured bacterium
Lineage: Bacteria
Description: partial 16S ribosomal RNA
Rfam family: Bacterial small subunit ribosomal RNA
Source: RNAcentral
GAUCAUAGCUCAGGAUGAACGCUAGCUACAGGCUUAACACAUGCAAGUCGAGGGGCAGCAUGGUCUUAGCUUGCUAAGGCCGAUGGCGACCGGCGCACGGGUGAGUAACACGUAUCCAACCUGCCGUCUACNCUUGGACAGCCUUCUGAAAGGAAGAUUAAUACAAGAUGGCAUCAUGAGUCCGCAUGUUCACAUGAUUAAAGGUAUUCCGGUAGACGAUGGGGA